Long non-coding RNA from Gadus macrocephalus (Pacific cod), 689 nucleotides. RefSeq lists it as uncharacterized. The record is from RefSeq and is a predicted model, not a curated record. Lineage: Eukaryota; Metazoa; Chordata; Actinopteri; Gadiformes; Gadidae. The transcript has 2 exons.
AGGGGUUGGCUUCACUGAAGCACCACAGCCGCUUGUGUUGGCUGCCUGCCACGCACCACUGCUGAACCACAGGGAUUGUGUGGCCCCGGUACUGUGCACACGCUGUAUUUAUAGCCUCACCCGUCCAAACCGAUUGGACGAUGAUUUGUCAGCGGAUGUGUGCGGCUCUAAGACGUUUGGGUUAGUGUCGGUGUCCUAGUGAUUGUUCUUUUGUUAUAAGGCAUUUAUAUGAAGAGGCAGAGAUUGUGUGAGAUCCUUGACUUCGAGAUGUAGCAAAAUCUGUUUUAAUAACACAAAGGUUUCUAAAUGUAAUAGGCCUACAGUACGAGGCAGUGACACAUUGUGUUGUACACAUGUAGUCUUAAUGCACUUUAAAAAGUGUGUGUGUGUGUGUGUGUGUGUGUGUAAACAUGAUAAUUUGGAAACUUUGUCAUGAAAACUACCCAUAUUGCUACAAUUGUUACGCUUACUUGUAAUACAAUCUCUAAAUCGCUCACUACUUUUUCUUGUACCUAAAAUCUAGAGGUUCCGGGCGUUGUCAAUUAACUUCCCCUGUCUCAUAGUGAGAGAGAGGUGUGUGUGUGUGUGUGUGUGUGUGUGUGUGUGUGUGUGUGUGUGUGUGUGUGUGUGUGUGUGUGUGUGUGUGUGUGUGUGUGUGUGUGUGUGUGUGUGUGUGUGUGUGUGUGUGU